AUGCGCGCCGCCUCGGCCGGGAACACGGGGUGUCCCCGCCGCCCCACCCAUAGGGCUGCCGCCGCACAGCCUGCUGGGACGCGGAGUUCCCCACCUGCGCACUCGGGCGUAGAGCAACAGCAGGAAAACCACAGCUCCCAGGAAGCAGCGCGGCGCCGUCUCGCUCGGCUGCGCUCCCGAACGCGGAAACGAGGAGGCGGUGUGGAAGCGCUGACAGGGCUGGGCGUGCUCUGCCGCGCCAUGGCGGCGCUCGGCGCCUACCGCUGCAUCGAGUGCAACGGGGAGGCGACAGAGCUGUACCGGGACUACCAGCGCGGGGUGCUCCGUAUCUCCAUAUGCAAAUCCUGCCAGAAACCUGUGGAUAAAUACAUUGAGUAUGAUCCUGUUAUCAUCUUGAUUAAUGCUGUUUUAUGCAAAGCACAAGCAUACAGGCACAUUCUUUUCAAUACAAAGAUAAAUAUUCAUGGGAAGCUCUGUGUAUUUUGUUUGCUCUGUGAAGCUUAUCUCAGGUGGUUGCAACUACAGGAUUCAAGCCAAAAUACAGAUCCUGAUGACUUAAUCAGAUAUGCCAAAGAAUGGGAUUUUUAUAGAAUGUUUGGCAUAGCUUCUUUAGAACAAACUUCAUUUUUCAUUGGUAUUUUUAUUACCUUGUGGUGGAUGACACCUGAGAUGCUGAAAACAAAGUCUGACUUCAUUUUACUUCUCAAAGCACUGCUGUUGUCCACCUACGGAAAGCUUCUGCUAAUUCCAGCUGUUAUUUGGGAGCACGACUACACACCUUUGUGCCUUGCAUUUAUAAAAGUGUUUGUCUUGAUAUCAAACUCUCAGGCAAUUAGAGUUACAUUGAACUUGAACCGAAUACUCCCUUGGUUUGCCAUCUUCUUUGGAUUAAUUUUGGAAAAUGGUGUGGUCUGCUUGUUCCAGAAAAUAGGAUGGGAUGUUUGAAAUGUCAGCCCAGUGAAGAAAUACCAACAACAGGAUGAUAAUUUUCUAAGAAUGAUCUCUGCCAGCAGGCUCCAAAAACACUGCUUUCACAGGGAUAAAAAAGUGCCUAGCUGGGCAGUGACAGAACAGCUUUGGUGAGCAUCUGACAUCCAAACUGGGCCAAUCCACCACAACUCUGGAUGUCUCUUGAGAAAAAUGUGCAUGAUUUCUAAUGUAAAUUUUGAUUUUUUUAACAAUGUAACAGCAGUGCUUUGGUUUAUUCUUCUUAGGUUACAGAUUUUUUUUUUUUUCAUAUUCAUCAUAUGUGUCAUCUGUAUGUGUCAUGGUUAUCUAUACCCCCUGAAAAAGGGGAUUUUUUGGUUUUUUUCCAGAUAUUUGGUCUGGCACCGGUUUCAGUCUGUAGGCUGAGUGGAGGCCAUUUAAGUGUAACUAAUGCAGGUUAUUGUAUGUAAACAUGAUGUCAACAGCAAUAUUGUAAAUACAAGGUAUAUAAAUUUUAUUUGAGGAUAGUCUUCUUAAUUUAAACUUUAUUUUUAAUUUUUACAAACUUAUUUGAGAUAUUUUCUGGGGGUUCUUUUGGAACACCUAGGGUGGACAUGAACACAUUCCAAAAGAAGCAGUGUUUAUCUAUUGUGACACAUACACUGAUAAUGUAUCAGUUAUGCACUCCAUAAUGCUG
Molecule: RNA transcript, 1624 nt
Organism: Cinclus cinclus
Lineage: Eukaryota; Metazoa; Chordata; Aves; Passeriformes; Cinclidae
Gene: ARV1
Gene name: ARV1 homolog, fatty acid homeostasis modulator
Exons: 6
Source: RefSeq, a predicted model, not a curated record